Molecule: long non-coding RNA, 754 nt
Filed under: Nicotiana benthamiana
Lineage: Eukaryota; Viridiplantae; Streptophyta; Magnoliopsida; Solanales; Solanaceae
Description: long non-coding RNA (NBEN_LNC034709)
Source: RNAcentral
GUGAAUACUUGUCCCUUUUGGAUAUAAUCGAUCCAUCAUAGCUUAAUUCACCACAUGGAGCUAUUAAUUCAGCAUGACGUUGAUAGCAUAAUUCCUACUCUUGGCUUUAGAAUUUGCUGAUGUAGCCAACCAAAUCGAUAAGAUAGCCCAUGAAACAGCAUGACCUCAAAUAAACACUAUGUUAUUCAUCACAUAUUCAAAAGAAGAAAGAAAACAACUUCAACAACCAAUGUUCAGAAUAAGUGGAAAAAUUUAACUAAAGAAAUAACUUCAAAGAAGACCAUUUUUAAAGGAAGGCUACUAGUAUCAAUGUACCAACCAAGUUACUCAUACUAGAUUAGUUCAACGCCUUGACUCUAUAUAGCAAAAGAUUAAUUAGAUCUAUAGCAAUGUAAUUAGUAACUACAUGAAAUGACACUCAUUUAUAAUACAUAAUUACAACUUUUGAUAUUAUAAUAUUCCAAACAGACAGUACAUUAAGAAAGAUGGGAUAUGUACCUUAAAACAACAAAGAGGAAACAACAACCAGAAGCCAAACAACACAACAAGAAAUCGUCCUAGAAACCAAAGAAUUCAAGGUUGAUUUGAAUGCCUAGAAAUCAAAGUAGACAACACCAAAAUGAACCAGGAGGGAAAUUAAAAAGAAGACUGAUGUUGAGAGCUAGGAAAUGCAAGGAGCUUUUCCUUUCUCUCCUUUUGUGUAUUUAGAAAAUUUUAGGGUAAAUUGCUAAUGACAUUGUAUCCGCGAGUGAAG